UACGUAGGGGGCGAGCGUUGUCCGGAGUUACUGGGCGUAAAGCGCACGCAGGCGGUCUGUUAAGUUUGGAGUGACAGUUGGUGGCUUAACUGCCAAAGUGCUUCGAAAACUGACAGACUUGAGGGCUUCAGAGGGACACGGAAUUCCGGGUGGAGUGGUGAAAUGCGUAGAGAUCCGGAGGAACACCAAAGGCGAAGGCAGUGUCCUGGGGAGUAGCCUG
RNAcentral lists this ribosomal RNA (220 nucleotides) under uncultured bacterium. RNAcentral describes it as "partial 16S ribosomal RNA". It matches the Rfam family "Bacterial small subunit ribosomal RNA", at positions 524 to 742 of the family's 1533-position model. The record is from RNAcentral.